This 33-nucleotide ribosomal RNA is filed under the name Thanatephorus cucumeris. RNAcentral's name for it is "partial 18S ribosomal RNA". Lineage: Eukaryota; Fungi; Basidiomycota; Agaricomycetes; Cantharellales; Ceratobasidiaceae. The record is from RNAcentral.
UCCGUAGGUGAACCUGCGGAAGGAUCAUUACUG